UACGUAGGGUGCGAGCGUUAAUCGGAAUUACUGGGCGUAAAGCGUGCGCAGGCGGUUCGUUAAGUCCGAUGUGAAAGCCCCGAGCUUAACUUGGGAAUGGCAUUGGAAACUGGCGGGCUGGAGUGUGGCAGAGGGGGGUGGAAUUCCACGUGUAGCAGUGAAAUGCGUAGAGAUGUGGAGGAACACCGAUGGCGAAGGCAGCCCCCUGGGCUAACACUGACGCUCAUGCACGAAAGCGUGGGGAGCAAACAGG
Molecule: ribosomal RNA, 253 nt
Filed under: uncultured bacterium
Lineage: Bacteria
Description: partial 16S ribosomal RNA
Rfam family: Bacterial small subunit ribosomal RNA
Source: RNAcentral